UUAAAUGAAUUGACGGGGCCCGCACAAGCAGCGGAGCGUGUGGUUUAAUUCGAUGUUACGCGAAAACCUUACCCGGGCUUGACAUGCAGGUAGUAGGGAACCGAGAGGGACCGACUCUUCGGAGAGCCUGCACAGGUGCUGCAUGGCUGUCGUCAGCUCGUGCCGUGAGGUGUCCGGUUAAGUCCGGUAACGAGCGCAACCCUCGCCAUAUGUUACAAGUGUCAUAUGGGACUGCCGAUAUAAAGUCGGAGGAAGGUGGGGAUGACGUCAAGUCAGCAUGGCCUUUAUGUCCGGGGCUACACACACGCUACAAUGGCCGGUACAAUAGGUAGCAAGACCGCGAGGUGGAGCCAAUCCUUAAAGCCGGUCUCAGUUCAGAUUGCAGGCUGCAACCCGCCUGCAUGAAGUCGGAGUUGCUAGUAACCGCGCGUCAGCAAUAGUGCGGUGAAUACGUUCCCGGGCCUU
Molecule: ribosomal RNA, 465 nt
Filed under: uncultured Anaerolineaceae bacterium
Lineage: Bacteria; Bacillati; Chloroflexota; Anaerolineae; Anaerolineales; Anaerolineaceae
Description: bacterial SSU rRNA
Rfam family: Bacterial small subunit ribosomal RNA
Source: RNAcentral